AUCGUUAGUUGCCAGCUGGUAAAGCAGGGGACUCUAGCGAAACUGCCACCGUAAGGUGAGAGGAAGGUGGGGAUGACGUCAAAUCAGCACGGCCCUUAUGUCCAGGGCUACACACGUGUUACAAUGGCCGGCACAGAGGGCAGCUACCUGGUGACAGGAUGCUAAUCUCGAAAACCGGUCUCAGUUCGGAUCGAAGUCUGCAACUCGACUUCGUGAAGCUGGAUUCGCUAGUAAUCGCGCAUCAGCCAUGGCGCGGUGAAUACGUUCCCGGGCCUU
RNAcentral lists this ribosomal RNA (276 nucleotides) under uncultured Sphingobacteriales bacterium. RNAcentral's name for it is "partial 16S ribosomal RNA". It matches the Rfam family "Bacterial small subunit ribosomal RNA", at positions 1107 to 1382 of the family's 1533-position model. Lineage: Bacteria; Pseudomonadati; Bacteroidota; Sphingobacteriia; Sphingobacteriales. The record is from RNAcentral.